This 352-nucleotide ribosomal RNA is filed under the name uncultured bacterium. RNAcentral describes it as "bacterial SSU rRNA". It matches the Rfam family "Bacterial small subunit ribosomal RNA", at positions 527 to 881 of the family's 1533-position model. The record is from RNAcentral.
GGAGGAUUCAAGCGUUAUCCGGAUUUAUUGGGUUUAAAGGGUGCGUAGGCGGUUUGAUAAGUUAGAGGUGAAAUCCCGGGGCUUAACUCCGGAACUGCCUCUAAUACUGUUAGACUAGAGAGUAGUUGCGGUAGGCGGAAUGUAUGGUGUAGCGGUGAAAUGCUUAGAGAUCAUACAGAACACCGAUUGCGAAGGCAGCUUACCAAACUAUAUCUGACGUUGAGGCACGAAAGCGUGGGGAGCAAACAGGAUUAGAUACCCUGGUAGUCCACGCAGUAAACGAUGAUAACUCGUUGUCGGCGAUACACAGUCGGUGACUAAGCGAAAGCGAUAAGUUAUCCACCUGGGGAGU